AUAGUUUUCAAAAUAGUUACUACAAACGUUUUUCAAACUAAAAAAAUAUGAAAUUAUUUCAAUUAAUCUUGGCAAUUGCUUGCAUUGUGGCUGGUGUUUUAGCUGCUCCAGGACACAACAUUGUAAAAGGCAAUAAUAUUCACGGAGUUAAUCAAAGCAAUUUCGAUAUUGAUGCCGAUCUAAAAGCUUCGUUGUUCUAGUCAUGGAUUAAUUUACUAUUUCAAAUAAUAAUAAAUCAAUGUAUAAAUAAAAAGUCAGUUUUUGAAAACAGAUUAAUAAAAAAAAAAUCGUUGAAACUUUUAUGUUUCCAAAUGAAAA
Molecule: long non-coding RNA, 318 nt
Organism: Calliphora vicina (urban bluebottle blowfly)
Lineage: Eukaryota; Metazoa; Arthropoda; Insecta; Diptera; Calliphoridae
Exons: 2
Source: RefSeq, a predicted model, not a curated record